GCGCCCUUAGCUCAGCUGGAUAGAGCACGUCCCUUCUAAGGAUGUGGUCAUAGGUUCGAAUCCUACAGGGCGUGCCA
RNAcentral lists this transfer RNA (77 nucleotides) under Vibrio aestuarianus. RNAcentral's name for it is "tRNA-Arg". It matches the Rfam family "tRNA". Rfam says of the family: Transfer RNA (tRNA) molecules are approximately 80 nucleotides in length. Their secondary structure includes four short double-helical elements and three loops (D, anti-codon, and T loops). Lineage: Bacteria; Pseudomonadati; Pseudomonadota; Gammaproteobacteria; Vibrionales; Vibrionaceae. The record is from RNAcentral.